GCACGAAGCCGGAAUCGCUAGUAAUCGCAGAUCAGAAUGCUGCGGUGAAUACGUUCCCGGGUCUUGUACACACCGCCCGUCACACCAUGGGAGUCGGAAAUGCCCGAAGUCAGUGGCCCAACCGGAAGGAGGGAGCUGCCGAAGGCAGGUCCGGUGACUGGGGUGAAGUCGUAACAAGGUAAC
RNAcentral lists this ribosomal RNA (183 nucleotides) under uncultured bacterium. RNAcentral's name for it is "partial 16S ribosomal RNA". It matches the Rfam family "Bacterial small subunit ribosomal RNA", at positions 1318 to 1500 of the family's 1533-position model. The record is from RNAcentral.